This 253-nucleotide ribosomal RNA is filed under the name uncultured bacterium. RNAcentral describes it as "partial 16S ribosomal RNA". It matches the Rfam family "Bacterial small subunit ribosomal RNA", at positions 524 to 776 of the family's 1533-position model. The record is from RNAcentral.
UACGUAGGUGGCAAGCGUUGUUCGGAAUUACUGGGCGUAAAGCGCACGUAGGCGGCUUUGUAAGUUAGAGGUGAAAGCCCGGGGCUCAACUCCGGAAUUGCCUUUAAGACUGCAUCGCUAGAAUUGUGGAGAGGUAAGUGGAAUUCCGAGUGUAGAGGUGAAAUUCGUAGAUAUUCGGAAGAACACCAGUGGCGAAGGCGACUUACUGGACACAUAUUGACGCUGAGGUGCGAAAGCGUGGGGAGCAAACAGG